GCCGGGCGUGGUGGCGCGCGCCUGUAGUCCCAGCUACUUGGGAGGCUGAGGCUGGAGGAUCGUUUGAGCCCAGGAGUUCUGGGCUGCAGUGCGCUAUGCCGAUCGGGUGUCCGCACUAAGUUCGGCAUCAAUAUGGUGACCUCCCGGGAGCGGGGGACCACCAGGUUGCCUAAGGAGGGGUGAACCGGCCCAGGUCGGAAACGGAGCAGGUCAAAACUCCCGUGCUGAUCAGUAGUGGGAUCGCGCCUGUGAAUAGCCACUGCACUCCAGCCUGGGCAAUAUAGCGAGACCCUGUCUCUU
This 300-nucleotide signal recognition particle RNA is filed under the name Erinaceus europaeus (western European hedgehog). RNAcentral's name for it is "Metazoan signal recognition particle RNA". It matches the Rfam family "Metazoan signal recognition particle RNA". From Rfam's summary of the family: The signal recognition particle (SRP) is a universally conserved ribonucleoprotein. It is involved in the co-translational targeting of proteins to membranes. The record is from Rfam by way of RNAcentral. Lineage: Eukaryota; Metazoa; Chordata; Mammalia; Eulipotyphla; Erinaceidae.